UUGGAGGGCAAGUCUGGUGCCAGCAGCCGCGGUAAUUCCAGCUCCAAUAGCGUAUAUUAAAGUUGCUGCAGUUAAAAAGCUCGUAGUUGAAUUUCGGGACCAUCAUGUCGGUCGUGCCUCGGUACGUACUGGUAUUGUUGGUUUCUCCCUUCUGACGAACCACGAUGUCAUUUAUUUGGUGUUGUGGGGAAUCAGGACUGUUACUUUGAAAAAAUUAGAGUGUUUAAAGCAGGCUCACGCUUGAAUACAUUAGCAUGGAAUAAUGAAAUAGGACGUUUGGUUCUAUUUUGUUGGUUUCUAGGAUCGACGUAAUGAUUAAUAGGGAUAGUUGGGGGCAUUAGUAUUCAAUUGUCAGAGGUGAAAUUCUUGGAUUUAUUGAAGACUAACUACUGCGAAAGCAUUUGCCAAGGAUGUUUUCAUUAAUCAAGAACGAAAGUUAGGGGAUCGAAGACGAUCAGAUACCGUCGUAGUCUUAACAAUAAACUAUGCCGACUAGGGAUCGGAUGAUGUUAAUUUUUUAAUGACUCAUUCGGCGCCUUACGGGAAAC
This 548-nucleotide ribosomal RNA is filed under the name uncultured Glomeromycotina. RNAcentral's name for it is "SSU rRNA". It matches the Rfam family "Eukaryotic small subunit ribosomal RNA", at positions 548 to 1098 of the family's 1831-position model. The record is from RNAcentral. Lineage: Eukaryota; Fungi; Glomeromycota.